Molecule: long non-coding RNA, 1345 nt
Filed under: Homo sapiens (human)
Lineage: Eukaryota; Metazoa; Chordata; Mammalia; Primates; Hominidae
Description: HSALNT0035342
Source: RNAcentral
UGGGAAGAUAACAUCCAAUGGGAGGACAUGGCAAAAUCAAAGCCUCAUCUCUGAGAGACAUGUCAGUCUUCGUUUGGACCUUGGGGAUGAGUAGGAUAUCUGUAGGUAGAAAGGAGCAUUCAGGGCAAGGAGAAACUCCACAGGCACAGGCAGGAAGGCCAGAUAAUGCGGAACAUUUUUUAAUGGAUAUUUGUAUCUUCAUCUCCUAGUCAUAAGGACUGAAUAAAUCUGUAGAAUAAAUACUUAUAAAAGUACAAGUAGUCUGUAGGGUGAGGCAGGAUAGGGAUUGGAUAACAAUAAUAACCUUUUUUGAGCAUUUUCUAUGUGCUAGGCAUUGUUCUCAGUGCUUUAUUAGUAAUAAUUAUUUCCUUAGAACAGCUUUAUUGAGAAGAUAGUACUAUGAUUCUUUUUUUUACAAAUGAGAUAGAGGUUACAAAUGAAAUAAACCUACUAAGUGGUAGAACUGGGAUUUACACUCUUACUAAUGUGCUCUUAAAGGGAGAAAGGAUGAAAAUGUGGUUUUCUUCUGAAUGCAAUUGACAGGGCAUUACAGGAUUUUGAGAAAGGAGUUAUGAGGUUUUGGAUCUGUGUUGUAAAUAGGUGUAUUUUGGGAUUCAAGAUAAGGAGACCAGUUAGCCUCCAAGUGAGGUUGUCUGUGUCAGUUUAAGAAGUAUGAAGAGGGUCUGAGCUAGGGCAGUAUAUGUGUGGAAAGGAGGGAUUAAUAUGAGAGGCCUUGAGAGGUGGAAAUGAGUUUGUCAGCUGAUUGGUUUUGUGCUGCUGGGCUGGGGAAAGGUGAUGUGGAAGGAGGCUCCGAAUUCUCUGAACGACCUGGGAAGGUACCUGGAUUUACCAAGUUAGGAAGCCUGGAGAAAAGUGGUUUGUAUUUAAAGGACAUGUGAGUGUGGAUGUUUAGGGACGGUUCAAAGGGAAGGUUCUUCUGUUGUUCCCAGUUCCAGAACUGAGGGAUUCUUCAAAACUUCAUGAUUCUCUCUAUAAUGAGGAUUGUACUUUCCAACAGCUUGGAACUUACAUUGAUUCUAUCAGAGAUCCUGUCCAUAACAGAGUCACCCUAGUAAGUACAAACAUUUGGUAGCUUUCCAAGAAGUGGGCUGGCAUUUCAAAUUUGACAGAAUACAGAAUUUUGUCUGAAAAAUGACAACAAACAUUUCUCAUGAUUUAAAAAAAUCUAUUGUGUCAUUUUUUGGCACUAUUUUACUUUUUACUAUACAGUAAUUCUGCUUGUUUUCUACAGUUUCUGUAUUAUUAAAAACUUCAUGAAAACAAAAGCUUGUUGAGUCAGUUGAAUUGUAUAUUGAUGUGAUUUUUUGUCAUCUCAUUAAAACUA